Molecule: long non-coding RNA, 390 nt
Organism: Asparagus officinalis (garden asparagus)
Lineage: Eukaryota; Viridiplantae; Streptophyta; Magnoliopsida; Asparagales; Asparagaceae
Exons: 3
Source: RefSeq, a predicted model, not a curated record
ACGACAAGAAAAGAAAACAAAAGACGGCAAAAGAAUAGUAGAAGAAGAAGAAAAAAAAAUUUAUUGGAUCCGUUGAAAGAGAGUGAGCAAUGGUUGUUUACACAAGAAUGAAGGAUUCCAAGUGACUUCGAGGAGACGUCAUGAGUGGUAUUCCAAUAGUCAUUCGGGUUUCUAGACUCGGGGUUAGGUGGAAUUGAGGAUUGUCAAAUUCUUAGAACGAAGCAAAGAAUAAUUCGAGAUUGUUAUUGUCUUCUAGGCGAAGGUUAAAUAAAGUCUUUAAUGUUUAGAUGAUGAAUUGAGAGUUUGUAAUAAUGAGAUUCUUUCUUAGGUUGAAAUUUAUUUGGAGUUGAGGAAUACUUAUUUUUAUCAAGUUAAUUGGCUUAGUUUGAC